Long non-coding RNA from Tyto alba (common barn owl), 355 nucleotides. RefSeq lists it as uncharacterized. The record is from RefSeq and is a predicted model, not a curated record. NCBI's taxonomy places the organism in Eukaryota, Metazoa, Chordata, Aves, Strigiformes, Tytonidae. The transcript is spliced from 3 exons.
UUCCGAGGAGGCCUUGGAGUGACCGAUUUAAUUUUCAUAUUAGUUUUGAGUUCAUCUGGUAAAAGCCUUAAGGUUUCAUUUAAAGAAGCGCCCACACUUGGAGAAUCUUCAAAGCUGGUGUGUGCUCUGCUGCACCACUCCCUUCCAUUGGCUGGGGUUCUCCUGGAACUACAACGGAAAUAGGAUUCAGCCAGACACACCAUACCAGUGACUGAAUUUCUACAAUACCAAUCUUCUCCCAGGAAAAAAGUCUCUUUCCCUGCAGGAACAGAGGGAGGAGGAGAGGGCUGUUUUGCUGCAGAGUUGGAUCUCUCUCGUCCCACAGAAUGAGCAGAGGACUCUGAAGUUGUUCGGG